Long non-coding RNA from Chenopodium quinoa (quinoa), 505 nucleotides. RefSeq lists it as uncharacterized. The record is from RefSeq and is a predicted model, not a curated record. The transcript has 4 exons. Lineage: Eukaryota; Viridiplantae; Streptophyta; Magnoliopsida; Caryophyllales; Amaranthaceae.
GAGAUUUUUUCCCCCAAUUUUCAUGCAAAAUUUCUACAAUUUCUCUCUCCUCCUUCAUUUGCACGUUAUUUUCUUCCUUCUCUACCUUAUCUCUCCUACUUUCUCUAUCCUAAUUUCUGCCAAUUUCAUGCUACUUCUUCAAAUCCAGCUUCAAUUACUUUGAUUUUCAGCAAUUUCUUAGCUCUACGAUCUACUAUCAAGUGAGAGCACUGCAUUACUUGCAUUCCAAUCGAAUUAUUCACAGGGACAUGAAGCCGCAAAAUAUUCUUAUUGGUUCAGGCUCCAUUGUUUAGGUUAGCUUUGUGAUUUAGGAUUUUCUCGUGCCAUGUCAAUGAACACUGUUGUACUUCGCUCCAUCAAAGGUACUCCAUUGUACAUGGCUCCUGAGCUUGUUCGCGAACAGCCAUACAAUCACAUAGCAGACUUGUUGUCAAAAUUGAUAUAAUUACCUUAUUUUUACAUAUUGUAACCUAUUCGUUAUUUUUAUAUAUAGUGGUCUCUGUAU